Molecule: ribosomal RNA, 253 nt
Filed under: uncultured bacterium
Lineage: Bacteria
Description: partial 16S ribosomal RNA
Rfam family: Bacterial small subunit ribosomal RNA
Source: RNAcentral
UACGUAGGGUGCAAGCGUUGUCCGGCAUUAUUGGGCGUAAAGAGCUCGUAGGCGGUCUGUCGCGUCUGCUGUGAAAACUCAGGGCUUAACCCUGAGCUUGCAGUGGGUACGGGCAGACUAGAGUGCGGUAGGGGAGACUGGAAUUCCUGGUGUAGCGGUGAAAUGCGCAGAUAUCAGGAGGAACACCGGUGGCGAAGGCGGGUCUCUGGGCCGUAACUGACGCUGAGGAGCGAAAGCAUGGGGAGCGAACAGG